GAUGAACGCUGGCGGCGUGCCUAAUACAUGCAAGUCGAGCGAACAGACGAGGAGCUUGCUCCUCUGACGUUAGCGGCGGACGGGUGAGUAACACGUGGAUAACCUACCUAUAAGACUGGGAUAACUUCGGGAAACCGGAGCUAAUACCGGAUAAUAUAUUGAACCGCAUGGUUCAAUAGUGAAAGACGGUUUUGCUGUCACUUAUAGAUGGAUCCGCGCCGCAUUAGCUAGUUGGUAAGGUAACGGCUUACCAAGGCAACGAUGCGUAGCCGACCUGAGAGGGUGAUCGGCCACACUGGAACUGAGACAAGGUCCAGAAUCCUAAGGGAGGCAGCAGUAGGGAAUCUUCCGCAAUGGGCGAAAGCCUGACGGAGCAACGGCGCGUGAGUGAUGAAGGUCUUCGGAUCGUAAAACCCUGUUAUUAGGGAAGAACAAAUGUGUAAGUAACUAUGCACGUCUUGACGGUACCUAAUCAGAAAGCCACGGCUAACUACGUG
This 497-nucleotide ribosomal RNA is filed under the name uncultured bacterium. Its description in RNAcentral is "partial 16S ribosomal RNA". It matches the Rfam family "Bacterial small subunit ribosomal RNA", at positions 28 to 507 of the family's 1533-position model. The record is from RNAcentral.